CUGUAGGAAGAUGAAGGAGCUCAGAGGUAUGCCAGCAGGGAAUCACUCGCUUCAGCCGUCCCUAGCAGAAGAUCCCAGAGGUUCCGCAAGUGAAAGAAGAGGAUGAAGGGAUCUACAACAAUGUCGAUUGCAAUAUAUAUGCAAAUAACUGAAAUACACUUUGGUUAGAUAUAGUUAUAUCUGCAUAAGCUUAUGAGCUUCUUUAACCAGUCUUAAAGAUAAAUUCUGUAAAAAUUAAAAAAUAUAUAUUCCUUUAAUAUAA
Astyanax mexicanus (Mexican tetra) is the source of this 262-nucleotide long non-coding RNA. RefSeq lists it as uncharacterized. The record is from RefSeq and is a predicted model, not a curated record. Lineage: Eukaryota; Metazoa; Chordata; Actinopteri; Characiformes; Acestrorhamphidae. The transcript has 2 exons.